RNAcentral lists this long non-coding RNA (558 nucleotides) under Sus scrofa (pig). Its description in RNAcentral is "lncRNA (ENSSSCG00060040847.1)". Lineage: Eukaryota; Metazoa; Chordata; Mammalia; Artiodactyla; Suidae. The record is from RNAcentral.
GGCCUGUAAAACUAGAGCACGUGUGUUUGCUUGUUUAAUUCGGGGGCUCUGCAAUGCUCAGACCAAAUUCCUGUAACCACGAAACCUGACACUUGCGAUCCAGAUGUAGGUUACAGGGAUGAUGCUACUAACAGUAAAAGUUGAGUCAUAUGGUUUCACGGAUAAGUCCUAAGGAUCAACCAGGAAGUUGCUUUAUCUGGCCACCCUCCACCAAUGCACAGCUUGACCAAUGGCACAACCUACAAGCUGAUUUCAAGGUCACUGCAAGCACCACUCGUUAGCUGGAGGAGCUGGAGGCACCGUGCACUUUCACUGCUGGGGAAGGGCUUGCUGUGCAUGUGUCCCCCUGCCCUGCUCCGUGGACAGUGGCUGACCCCACCCAGGAGCCAAAGUGAUGGAGAAGUUCAAGAAAACCUUGGCCACCAGUGCCCAAAGAAUGUGGAUCGGCCCAGCAUUUUGUUCCACCCCAGAACCAGGCUUCUGGUAUUGAAGAGUGAUAUCCUUCUGUUGGAAGCAGUUCAGUUUCUAUUUAUGGGAGGCAGUGUUCUCAAAGUGUAG